RNAcentral lists this ribosomal RNA (1458 nucleotides) under uncultured organism. Its description in RNAcentral is "SSU rRNA". It matches the Rfam family "Bacterial small subunit ribosomal RNA". The record is from RNAcentral.
GAUGAACGCUAUUUACAGGCUUAACACAUGCAAGUCGAGGGGCAUCAGGAAGAAAGCUUGCUUUCUUUGCUGGCGACCGGCGCACGGGUGAGUAACACGUAUCCAACCUGCCCUUUACUCGGGGAUAGCCUUUCGAAAGAAAGAUUAAUACCCGAUGGCAUAAUGAUUCCGCAUGGUUUCAUUAUUAAAGGAUUCCGGUAAAGGAUGGGGAUGCGUUCCAUUAGGUUGUUGGUGAGGUAACGGCUCACCAAGCCUUCGAUGGAUAGGGGUUCUGAGAGGAAGGUCCCCCACAUUGGAACUGAGACACGGUCCAAACUCCUACGGGAGGCAGCAGUGAGGAAUAUUGGUCAAUGGGCGCUAGCCUGAACCAGCCAAGUAGCGUGAAGGAUGAAGGCUCUAUGGGUCGUAAACUUCUUUUAUAUAAGAAUAAAGUGCAGUAUGUAUACUGUUUUGUAUGUAUUAUAUGAAUAAGGAUCGGCUAACUCCGUGCCAGCAGCCGCGGUAAUACGGAGGAUCCGAGCGUUAUCCGGAUUUAUUGGGUUUAAAGGGAGCGUAGGUGGACUGGUAAGUCAGUUGUGAAAGUUUGCGGCUCAACCGUAAAAUUGCAGUUGAUACUGUCAGUCUUGAGUACAGUAGAGGUGGGCGGAAUUCGUGGUGUAGCGGUGAAAUGCUUAGAUAUCACGAAGAACUCCGAUUGCGAAGGCAGCUCACUGGACUGCAACUGACACUGAUGCUCGAAAGUGUGGGUAUCAAACAGGAUUAGAUACCCUGGUAGUCCACACAGUAAACGAUGAAUACUCGCUGUUUGCGAUAUACAGUAAGCGGCCAAGCGAAAGCAUUAAGUAUUCCACCUGGGGAGUACGCCGGCAACGGUGAAACUCAAAGGAAUUGACGGGGGCCCGCACAAGCGGAGGAACAUGUGGUUUAAUUCGAUGAUACGCGAGGAACCUUACCCGGGCUUAAAUUGCAGUGGAAUGAUGUGGAAACAUGUCAGUGAGCAAUCACCGCUGUGAAGGUGCUGCAUGGUUGUCGUCAGCUCGUGCCGUGAGGUGUCGGCUUAAGUGCCAUAACGAGCGCAACCCUUAUCUUUAGUUACUAACAGGUUAUGCUGAGGACUCUAGAGAGACUGCCGUCGUAAGAUGUGAGGAAGGUGGGGAUGACGUCAAAUCAGCACGGCCCUUACGUCCGGGGCUACACACGUGUUACAAUGGGGGGUACAGAAGGCAGCUAGCGGGUGACCGUAUGCUAAUCCCAAAAGCCUCUCUCAGUUCGGAUCGAAGUCUGCAACCCGACUUCGUGAAGCUGGAUUCGCUAGUAAUCGCGCAUCAGCCACGGCGCGGUGAAUACGUUCCCGGGCCUUGUACACACCGCCCGUCAAGCCAUGGGAGCCGGGGGUACCUGAAGUACGUAACCGCAAGGAUCGUCCUAGGGUAAAACUGGUGACUGGGGCUAAGUCAU